CCAACGGCCCUCUUUAGGGCCACAAAUAUCUGAAAAUCCAAUAUUAU
This is a non-coding RNA of Caenorhabditis briggsae, 47 nucleotides long. The record is from Rfam. Lineage: Eukaryota; Metazoa; Nematoda; Chromadorea; Rhabditida; Rhabditidae.